Molecule: ribosomal RNA, 1498 nt
Filed under: uncultured bacterium
Lineage: Bacteria
Description: bacterial SSU rRNA
Rfam family: Bacterial small subunit ribosomal RNA
Source: RNAcentral
AGAGUUUGAUUCUGGCUCAGAUUGAACGCUGGCGGUAUGCUUAACACAUGCAAGUCGAACGGAAACGAUACUAGCUUGCUAGUAGGCGUCGAGUGGCGGACGGGUGAGUAACGCGUAGGAAUCUGCCUGAUAGUGGGGGAUAGCCCGGAGAAAUUCGGAUUAAUACCGCAUAAUCUAUUCGUAGUAAAGUGGGGGACUUUCGAGCCUCACGCUAUCAGAUGAGCCUGCGUAAGAUUAGCUUGUUGGUAGGGUAAAAGCCUACCAAGGCGACGAUCUUUAGCUGGUCUGAGAGGAUGAUCAGCCACAUCGGGACUGAGACACGGCCCGAACUCCUACGGGAGGCAGCAGUGGGGAAUAUUGGACAAUGGGGGCAACCCUGAUCCAGCAAUACCGCGUGUGUGAAGAAGGCCUGAGGGUUGUAAAGCACUUUCAAUUGUGAAGAAAAGUUAACGGUUAAUAACCGUUAGCCUUGACGUUAACUUUAGAAGAAGCACCGGCUAACUCCGUGCCAGCAGCCGCGGUAAUACGGAGGGUGCAAGCGUUAAUCGGAAUUACUGGGCGUAAAGCGUGCGUAGGCGGUUUAUUAAGUCAGAUGUGAAAGCCCCGGGCUUAACCUGGGAACUGCAUUUGAAACUGGUAAACUAGAGUAUGGUAGAGGAAAGUGGAAUUUCUGGUGUAGCGGUGAAAUGCGUAGAUAUCAGAAGGAACAUCAAUGGCGAAGGCAGCUUUCUGGACCAAUACUGACGCUGAGGUACGAAAGCGUGGGUAGCAAACAGGAUUAGAUACCCUGGUAGUCCACGCCGUAAACGAUGAUAACUAGCCGUUGGGGGGAUUUACCCUUUAGUGGCGAAGCUAACGCGUUAAGUUAUCCGCCUGGGGAGUACGGCCGCAAGGUUAAAACUCAAAGGAAUUGACGGGGACCCGCACAAGCGGUGGAGCAUGUGGUUUAAUUCGAUGCAACGCGAAGAACCUUACCUGGUCUUGACAUCCUGCGAACUUUCUAGAAAUAGAUUGGUGCCUUCGGGAACGCAGUGACAGGUGCUGCAUGGUUGUCGUCAGCUCGUGUCGUGAGAUGUUGGGUUAAGUCCCGUAACGAGCGCAACCCCUAUCCUUAUUUGCCAGCACAUUAUGGUGGGAACUAUAAGGAGACUGCCGGUGAUAAACCGGAGGAAGGCGGGGACGACGUCAAGUCAUCAUGGCCCUUACGACCAGGGCUACACACGUGCUACAAUGGGAAGGACAAAGAGCCGCGAAGCCGCGAGGUGUAGCUAAUCUCAUAAACCUUUUCGUAGUCCGGAUUGGAGUCUGCAACUCGACUCCAUGAAGUCGGAAUCGCUAGUAAUCGUAGAUCAGAAUGCUACGGUGAAUACGUUCCCGGGUCUUGUACACACCGCCCGUCAUACCAUGGGAGUGGGUUGCACCAGAAGUGGCUAGUCUAACUUAGUGAGGACGGUCACCACGGUGUGAUUCAUGACUGGGGUAAAGUCGUAACAAGGUA